This 310-nucleotide ribosomal RNA is filed under the name uncultured Agarivorans sp. RNAcentral describes it as "bacterial SSU rRNA". It matches the Rfam family "Bacterial small subunit ribosomal RNA", at positions 30 to 334 of the family's 1533-position model. Lineage: Bacteria; Pseudomonadati; Pseudomonadota; Gammaproteobacteria; Alteromonadales; Alteromonadaceae. The record is from RNAcentral.
AUUGAACGCUGGCGGCAGGCCUAACACAUGCAAGUCGAGCGGUAACAUUUCUAGCUUGCUAGAAGAUGACGAGCGGCGGACGGGUGAGUAAUGCUUGGGAAUAUGCCUUUACGCGGGGGACAACAGUUGGAAACGACUGCUAAUACCGCAUAAUGUCUUCGGACCAAAGGAGGGGACGCUUCGGCACCUUUCGCGUAUUGAUUAGCCCAAGUGGGAUUAGCUAGUUGGUAAGGUAAUGGCUUACCAAGGCGACGAUCCCUAGCUGGUUUGAGAGGAUGAUCAGCCACACUGGGACUGAGACACGGCCCAG